AGGAGAAGGAGGAGGAAGCAGCGCCUUCGCCUCGGAGAUGCAGCCGGAGAGGGGAGCGAGGAGGAGGGAGAGAGAGAGCAGAGAGGCUCUACAAUAUCCUGAGGCGCCCAGAACGAUGUUAUGUCGUGCUGUAGCAUCCAAGCAGCUCUGCUGCUACUUGUUGCUGAUGUUGCUCCCACUGGACCACGUGACUUCUUGAAAAUCUCUGGAUAUUAAUCCCCUCCCCUCUUUUGUGGCCUGGGAAUGUGAUCUGAAAACCACGGAGGUCCUUUUUUUUUUUGGUCUGGGUGUUAUUUUGUUUUCUUGCGAUAUUAUGCCUCUCUUUGUCCAAAGUGUACCUUUCUCAGGAUCUCCGUCUCAACUCCGGUUUGAUAUUUCAACAUGAAACACUUGAGAAGAAAAGGCAGGUGUUUGGUUAUGACCUGUGGGAACAUGGAACCGGCUCAUUGUUUGGUCACCAAGGUGAUACCCCACUUUAGUCAAGUGUCUCAAGAUCUGCAAGUAGGCCUUCUCGGCAUUUUCACCAUAACUAGCAUUUUUUUUAAAAAAAACACCACCACCACAUACACACACGUUCUGAACAAUAAACUACAUUUUAUUUUUGAUCUACCAG
Molecule: long non-coding RNA, 613 nt
Organism: Podarcis raffonei (Aeolian wall lizard)
Lineage: Eukaryota; Metazoa; Chordata; Lepidosauria; Squamata; Lacertidae
Exons: 2
Source: RefSeq, a predicted model, not a curated record